RNAcentral lists this ribosomal RNA (465 nucleotides) under uncultured Klebsiella sp. RNAcentral describes it as "bacterial SSU rRNA". It matches the Rfam family "Bacterial small subunit ribosomal RNA", at positions 338 to 795 of the family's 1533-position model. Lineage: Bacteria; Pseudomonadati; Pseudomonadota; Gammaproteobacteria; Enterobacterales; Enterobacteriaceae. The record is from RNAcentral.
CCUACGGGGGGCUGCAGUGGGGAAUAUUGCACAAUGGGCGCAAGCCUGAUGCAGCCAUGCCGCGUGUGUGAAGAAGGCCUUCGGGUUGUAAAGCACUUUCAGCGGGGAGGAAGGCGGUGAGGUUAAUAACCUCAUCGAUUGACGUUACCCGCAGAAGAAGCACCGGCUAACUCCGUGCCAGCAGCCGCGGUAAUACGGAGGGUGCAAGCGUUAAUCGGAAUUACUGGGCGUAAAGCGCACGCAGGCGGUCUGUCAAGUCGGAUGUGAAAUCCCCGGGCUCAACCUGGGAACUGCAUUCGAAACUGGCAGGCUAGAGUCUUGUAGAGGGGGGUAGAAUUGCAGGUGUAGCGGUGAAAUGCGUCGAGAUCUGGAGGAAUACCGGUGGCGAAGGCGGCCACCUGGACAAAGACUGACGCUCAGGUGCGAAAGCGUGGGGAGCAAACAGGAUUAGAUACCCCAGUAGUC